UACGUAGGUGGCGAGCGUUGUCCGGAAUUACUGGGUGUAAAGGGCGUGUAGGCGGGGAAGCAAGUCAGAUGUGAAAUCCCGGGGCUCAACUCGGGAGUUGCAUCUGAAACUGUUUUUCUUGAGUGCUGGAGAGGAAAGCGGAAUUCCUAGUGUAGCGGUGAAAUGCGUAGAUAUUAGGAGGAACACCAGUGGCGAAGGCGGCUUUCUGGACAGUAACUGACGCUGAGGCGCGAAAGCGUGGGGAGCAAACAGGAUUAGAUACCCUGGUAGU
This 271-nucleotide ribosomal RNA is filed under the name uncultured prokaryote. RNAcentral describes it as "partial 16S ribosomal RNA". It matches the Rfam family "Bacterial small subunit ribosomal RNA", at positions 524 to 794 of the family's 1533-position model. The record is from RNAcentral.